UUCGUGUAUGUGUGUGUAUAUAAAAAAUUUUAUUUAUAAAUAUAUAUUCAUUUAUUAUAUAUAUUAUUUUAUUUUUAUAUAGAAAUAUUUAUAUAAUAUUUUGUUUAUAAAUUUGUAAUUAUUUAUUAAUAUUUUUAAAUAUAUAAAUUUUAUGUAUUAUUAAUAAGGUUUAUUAUUAAUAUAUGAAUAUAUUUAAUCUAUAUAUAAAAAUUAUAAUAAUAAUAUAUAUAGUAUAUUAAUUAUUAUAUAUUUAUUAUAUAGCCGAAUUUUUGAUUCCGAAUUUUUAAUUGGUGAAUGUAUAAUAUCCGUAUAAAUCACGUAUCCGAAUAAUUACCAAAUCCGUUUUUUAGCCGUAUUUUUUAACGAAUUUAAAAAUUAAAAGAUGAAUUUUAUCCGAAUUAUACCCGUACCGAAUUUUUGCUGAAUCCGAAUUAACUAACUAUGAAGUAGACUACUGUUAGGACUCAUUACCUGGAAUAAAUGUCCAUUCAGCUUCCCUCCAAUUUCUUGUUUUUCGAAAACGCUUAUUUUUACUAUAAAUGAAAAUUUUGAACCUCUACUGCUGCAAGAAUUUGAAAUGAAAUUUUACGUCUUCGUCGGAUAGAAACUCUAACUUAGACUUUAGAGCUUCUCUCUGUAAGGAUUGAGAUUUUUACAGUACAACUAAACUCUCUGUUGAUGAUGUUUAUGUGUGUAAUUUAAUUACAUAAGCACUCGUCAAGUUUCAGGAGAAAAUGAGCUAAAACAGAGAAGUUACGCGAUUAUUAGUUUUCACUUAAGUAAAUAGUAACUCCGAUUUUUCGGUGAAGCCACGGAGUAGAGUUGGCUUUCUACGCGUAUCGGACUCCGUUCAUAGCGAUCCAAUAGCUCGUUUCGACCGGUUCAGCUAUUCUGGAACCAUUGGCGCUGUUGGAUUUUGAGUUUGAUGCACGGAUUUCGAGAAAAUCCAAAAAUACAUGUUUUAUAUGUAUUUACGUGUUAUUUUCUUAUGUUGGAAAGAAGAGUGGAUUGUGUCGUGAAUCCGUGGUUGAUCGAGGUGAAGCGAAAUCGCAGCUUUGUUGUCUCCGUCGUGCUGAACGCGAUGGCGCUGUCGGAUCGAAAAUCCGAUGGACGGAUUUUCGGGAAACGCGAAAUGUUCGCUAAGGGGUCGAAGGUGGCAAAUCGGAAACUU
RNAcentral lists this long non-coding RNA (1171 nucleotides) under Ananas comosus (pineapple). RNAcentral's name for it is "long non-coding RNA (ACOM_LNC043785)". Lineage: Eukaryota; Viridiplantae; Streptophyta; Magnoliopsida; Poales; Bromeliaceae. The record is from RNAcentral.